AAAUCUAUUAGGUUGGUGCAAAAGUAAUUGUGGUUUUUGCCAUUAAAUUUAUUUUGCAGCAAAAACUGCAGUUAUUUUUGCACCAAACU
This 89-nucleotide microRNA precursor is filed under the name Chlorocebus sabaeus (green monkey). RNAcentral's name for it is "miRNA (ENSCSAG00000026178.1)". Lineage: Eukaryota; Metazoa; Chordata; Mammalia; Primates; Cercopithecidae. The record is from RNAcentral.